This 96-nucleotide ribosomal RNA is filed under the name Vibrio anguillarum. The record is from RNAcentral. Lineage: Bacteria; Pseudomonadati; Pseudomonadota; Gammaproteobacteria; Vibrionales; Vibrionaceae.
GUCAACGGCCAUAUCACGAAAAACGCACCUGGUCCCGUCAGCUCCCAGCAGUUAAGAUUCGUCGACCCUGUGGUAACUUUUCUGGCACCUCUAGCC